AGAGUUUGAUCCUGGCUCAGAACGAACGCUGGCGGCACGCCUAACACAUGCAAGUCGAACGAUAAGGUUCCUUCGGGAACUGGACAGUGGCGGACGGGUGAGUAACGCGUGGGAACCUGCCUAUCAGUACGGAACAACAGUUAGAAAUGACUGCUAAUACCGUAUACGCCCCUUGGGGGAAAGAUUCAUCGCUGAUAGAUGGGCCCGCGUUAGAUUAGCUAGAUGGUGAGGUAAUGGCUCACCAUGGCGACGAUCUAUAGCUGGUUUGAGAGGAUGAUCAGCCACACUGGGACUGAGACACGGCCCAGACCCCUACGGGAGGCAGCAGUGGGGAAUAUUGGACAAUGGGGGCAACCCUGAUCCAGCGAUGCCGCGUGUGUGAUGAAGGCCUUAGGGUUGUAAAACACUUUCAGAUGGGAUGAUAAUGACAGUACCAUCAGAAGAAGCUCCGCUAACU
RNAcentral lists this ribosomal RNA (457 nucleotides) under uncultured bacterium. RNAcentral's name for it is "bacterial SSU rRNA". It matches the Rfam family "Bacterial small subunit ribosomal RNA", at positions 8 to 502 of the family's 1533-position model. The record is from RNAcentral.